UGCCAGCCGCCGCGGUAAUACGGAGGGUGCAAGCGUUGUUCGGAAUUACUGGGCGUAAAGCGCGCGUAGGCGGCUAUUUAAGUCAGAUGUGAAAGUCCACGGCUCAACCGUGGAAGUGCAUUUGAAACUGGCGAACUUGAGUACGGGAGAGGAAAGUGGAAUUCCGAGUGUAGGGGUGAAAUCCGUAGAUAUUGGGAAGAACACCAGUGGCGAAGGCGGCUACCUGGACCGAUACUGACGCUGAGGCGCGAAAGCGUGGGGAGCAAACAGGAUUAGAUA
This 279-nucleotide ribosomal RNA is filed under the name uncultured bacterium. Its description in RNAcentral is "partial 16S ribosomal RNA". It matches the Rfam family "Bacterial small subunit ribosomal RNA", at positions 506 to 784 of the family's 1533-position model. The record is from RNAcentral.